AAGUCGUAACAAGGUUUCCGUAGGUAAACCUGCAGAAGGAUCAUUACCUUUCAAUGCAGCAGAAUUAGGAUAGUUAAGUAUCUCGCCUCUCCGUUCUGCCUGUAUUCUACCCUUAUUUGUCAUAUACUAUUAUUUCCUCAGCAGGCUUGCCUGCCAAGUAAAACCAUUUAUAACCUUUUUAAUUUUCAAUCAGCGUCUAAAAAAAACUAAUAAUUACAACUUUCAACAACGGAUCUCUUGGUUCUG
RNAcentral lists this unclassified non-coding RNA (246 nucleotides) under Paraphoma chrysanthemicola. Its description in RNAcentral is "partial internal transcribed spacer region". The stretch from base 1 to 46 matches the Rfam family "Eukaryotic small subunit ribosomal RNA", at positions 1786 to 1831 of the family's 1831-position model. Lineage: Eukaryota; Fungi; Ascomycota; Dothideomycetes; Pleosporales; Phaeosphaeriaceae. The record is from RNAcentral.